AUUGAACGCUGGCGGCAUGCCUUACACAUGCAAGUCGAACGGCAGCAUAGGAGCUUGCUCCUGAUGGCGAGUGGCGAACGGGUGAGUAAUAUAUCGGAACGUGCCCUAGAGUGGGGGAUAACUAGUCGAAAGGCUAGCUAAUACCGCAUACGAUCUACGGAUGAAAGUGGGGGAUCGCAAGACCUCAUGCUCCUGGAGCGGCCGAUAUCUGAUUAGCUAGUUGGUGGGGUAAAAGCCUACCAAGGCAACGAUCAGUAGCUGGUCUGAGAGGACGACCAGCCACACUGGGACUGAGACACGGCCCAGACUCCUACGGGAGGCAGCAGUGGGGAAUUUUGGACAAUGGGGGCAACCCUGAUCCAGCAAUGCCGCGUGAGUGAAGAAGGCCUUCGGGUUGUAAAGCUCUUUUGUCAGGGAAGAAACGGUAGUAGCGAAUAACUACUACUAAUGACGGUACCUGAAGAAUAAGCACCGGCUAACUACGUGCCAGCAGCCGCGGUAAUACGUAGGGUGCAAGCGUUAAUCGGAAUUACUGGGCGUAAAGCGUGCGCAGGCGGUUGUGUAAGUCAGAUGUGAAAUCCCCGGGCUCAACCUGGGAAUUGCAUUUGAGACUGCACGGCUAGAGUGUGUCAGAGGGGGGUAGAAUUCCACGUGUAGCAGUGAAAUGCGUAGAUAUGUGGAGGAAUACCGAUGGCGAAGGCAGCCCCCUGGGAUAACACUGACGCCCAUGCACGAAAGCGUGGGGAGCAAACAGG
RNAcentral lists this ribosomal RNA (755 nucleotides) under uncultured Oxalobacteraceae bacterium. Its description in RNAcentral is "bacterial SSU rRNA". It matches the Rfam family "Bacterial small subunit ribosomal RNA", at positions 28 to 776 of the family's 1533-position model. Lineage: Bacteria; Pseudomonadati; Pseudomonadota; Betaproteobacteria; Burkholderiales; Oxalobacteraceae. The record is from RNAcentral.